GCCUUCGUGGUGUAGUGGUCAGCACGCUCGACGCGUAACCGAGAGGCCCAUGGUUCGAUUCCCGGCGAAGGCG
RNAcentral lists this transfer RNA (73 nucleotides) under Stegodyphus mimosarum. It matches the Rfam family "tRNA". From Rfam's summary of the family: Transfer RNA (tRNA) molecules are approximately 80 nucleotides in length. Their secondary structure includes four short double-helical elements and three loops (D, anti-codon, and T loops). Further hydrogen bonds mediate the characteristic L-shaped molecular structure. tRNAs have two regions of fundamental functional importance: the anti-codon, which is responsible for specific mRNA codon recognition, and the 3' end, to which the tRNAs corresponding amino acid is attached (by aminoacyl-tRNA synthetases). tRNAs cope with the degeneracy of the genetic code in two manners: having more than one tRNA (with a specific anti-codon) for a particular amino acid; and 'wobble' base-pairing, i.e. permitting non-standard base-pairing at the 3rd anti-codon position. Lineage: Eukaryota; Metazoa; Arthropoda; Arachnida; Araneae; Eresidae. The record is from Rfam by way of RNAcentral.